GGUAAUAACUCAGUGGUAGAGUGCAUGCUUAGCAUGCAGGAGGUCCUGGGUUCAAUCCCUAGUACUUCCA
RNAcentral lists this transfer RNA (70 nucleotides) under Camelus bactrianus (Bactrian camel). It matches the Rfam family "tRNA". From Rfam's summary of the family: Transfer RNA (tRNA) molecules are approximately 80 nucleotides in length. Their secondary structure includes four short double-helical elements and three loops (D, anti-codon, and T loops). Lineage: Eukaryota; Metazoa; Chordata; Mammalia; Artiodactyla; Camelidae. The record is from Rfam by way of RNAcentral. RNAcentral also lists the same sequence under 1 other name.